UCCCACCCGACAGUUAUAGGUGGCACCCCCUGCCCAAUGCUUAUAGUAAAUGGCUGCAGUACCCUGACUGUACAAAGGUAGCAUAAUGAUUUGGCUCUUUAUUAGAGUCUGGAAUGAAAGGGGCAAUAAGGCAUCACUAUUAAACCUGGGCUUAGAUGUUAACUUAAGGGGCUAAUUAAAACUUUAGACCUAGCCUGCAUGAAGAUAAGACCCUGUAGAGCUGCUCUAUCUUUCAAUUCUUGCUGAGUUUAGCAUCUAAUAAAUUGUUACACUAGCUUACUGGGGCGGUAAGUUAACUAAUCUGCUUGCUUUAAAGAACCCCUUAUCCUUAAGAUCUUUUAUCAGUGUACGCAUAGUUACCUCGGGGAUAACAGUGUAAUAAACUUAUAGAGCCCAAAUCGAAAAGUACGCUUACAACCUCGAUGUUGAAUUAAAGGUGCUGUUUAGCGUAGCUGUUAAAUAAGCUGGUUUGUUCAACCAUUGAACCUUU
This 490-nucleotide ribosomal RNA is filed under the name Romecytheridea bacata. RNAcentral describes it as "partial 16S ribosomal RNA". It matches the Rfam family "Archaeal large subunit ribosomal RNA", at positions 1922 to 2666 of the family's 2987-position model. Lineage: Eukaryota; Metazoa; Arthropoda; Ostracoda; Podocopida; Cytherideidae. The record is from RNAcentral.